UACGCCUGAAAUCAAUGGAAGACGAGUUAGCAGGGUUAACACUUAAUGAAGAAGAAGAUGCAAUCCUACAAGUCCAAUUAGAACCAAAUACAGAAAGAGGAGAGGUGAUAUUCAGGUUAGUAGGAUGUUUUCUAACUGCUAGUAUUAUUCAUUAUCCUACAAUGAAAAAUACUAGGCAAAACUUUGGCACCCAGUUAAGGGAGUUCAUAUACGGGAUUUGGGAGAAAAAAGAUUUUUGUUCCAAUUCUAUCACAUCAUGGAUUUGGAUAGGGUGUUGAAGGGAUCUCUAUGGACAUUCAAUAACCAUUUUCUAGUGUUACAUAAGUUACAGUGGGGAGAAAAUCCUCUCAAAAUUCCAUUAAUCAUGGCACCUUUUUGGGGUCCAGAUACAUGACGUCUCCAUUGGCCUUUUUUCAGAAAAUUUGGCAGUACAGUUGGAUAACUUUGUAGGUGAAUUUAUUAAGUAUGAUGGAUCAAAUCUGGGGAAAGAAAAUAGCAAUUAUAUGCGGGUAAGAGUUAGGAUUGAUGUGCGACAACCGUUAAAAAGGAGGAAACAAAUUUUAUUCUGUAGGAAUUGUACUUAUGUAAGUUUAGGUAUGAACGAUUGUCCCUUUUUCUGUUUUUAUUGUGGUCGAUUGGGACAUAAUGAUUCCUUUUGUGAAGCAAAGAUGGCGCUAGGGGUGGAAAUAGCUGAGAUGGAUUGGGAUCUAUUAUUACGAGCCCAGUCACGGAGGGCUGCAGCAAUAAAUAGUGUGUGCAGCAAUAAGUGAGGGAAAAUUGAAAGGAGACGGCGAAGCUGUUUUUAUGAUUGGGAGUAAUUUGUGGACUGGUAAAAAUAAAAUAGUGGGGUGUGGAAAGGCUUUUGACCCAAUUUUGGAUUCACUUGGAAGGCCAAAAGAACUUUAGAAAUCACAGGAGGAAAAAUUUAAUGUCAGAUCAAGUGUUAACUGAUAUGGAGCAUGAUCUGGAGGAUGGUGUUCUGAUUGAUGAAAAAGGGGAAAAAGGGCUAGAGGAGAGAUGGAAGGUGCGAUAGUUUUGGGAAAUAAGAAUUUUUCGACAGACAGGAAUAGGAGAUUGUUAGAGGUUAAUAACUUUGUAUCGGCGGCUGCCAAGAGGCAAGUUGACAGGACGCAAUGAAAUUACUAAACUGGAAUGUUCGUGGAUUGGGGAGUCCACGGACAGUUUGGAGACAUUGAUAUAUGUUGAAGGUACAGAAUCCCCAAAUAGUCUUCUUCAUGGAGACAAAGAUAUGUAAAAAUCAAAUGGAAAGAAUCUGUUACAGUUGCGGGUAUGUUAAUGGGAUAGAAGUUGAUCCAGAAGGUACUAGAGAAGGGUUAUGUUUGGCAUGGAAAUCUUAGGGGUGUGUUAUGUUGCGACAGUACUCAAAAAGGCAUAUUGAUGUGGUGAUAGAUGAUAGUGAUGUAAGAGUGAUUUCAACGAAAUAUUGUACGGAUAUGAAAAGAAGGGUGGAGUACCUAGAGAUGAAAGAAGAAUGGAGUUAUUUUGCAAUGUUCUAACAGAUUGCAGCCUAGUGGAUGUGGGGUUUUUUGAGAGAUGAUUUGCAUGUGAGAGGGGAAAUUUACCUGAGACAAAUAUACGCGAAAGGCUUGAUAGAGGCAUUGCAAAUGAAGAAUGGAUGGCCUUGUUUCUUGAGGUAACUAUCCAACACCUUAUUCAUUCUUUCUCUGAUCAUUGCCCCAUUUUAGUUAAUACAAAGAAGGCAGCACAAGGGGUGACAGAGAAAGCUUUUAAAUUUGAAGCUUGGUGGACAAUGGAGAAGUCGUUCUAAGAAGAGGUUUAAAACAUCUGGGGGACAUCAUCAGGUAAUUUGAUACAGAAAUUAGAUAAGCUAAAGCAUGGUUUGAGGAGUUAGGCUGUUCAGACCCAAGUUGAUCGGAAGAAGCGAAAUACAGUUCUCACAGAUAAGGUAUCAGAACUCUUAGCAGCUGAAAGAGACGGUUCUAAUUUGGCAGAGUUGAUUGACACAAAGAUUCAACUAAAUCUUGAAAUAGAUAAGGUUGAAUGCUACUGGGAACAAAGAGCGCGCACAAACUGGCUGAAACAUAGAGAUAGGAAUACUGCUUUCUUUCAAGUCAAGCCAUACAAUGAAGACUAAGGAACCUGAUUCAUAAAUUACAAGACGAGAAAGGAAGAGAAGCGAAGAUCAUCUAAGAUAUAGAAGACAUUGCACAAUCCUAUUUCCAAAAUUUAUUUACAAUAGAAAGAAGGAGAAGUUGUGAUCAUUUUCUAUUGAGAAUUGAUAGAUGUAUUUCUGAGGAGGAUAAUCAAUUUCUUACAGCAUUCUACACAAAGGAAGAGAUUAAAGUAGCAGUGUUUGAGAUGGAACCUACAAAAGCCCUAGGAAAGACGGAUUACCGGCUUUAUUUUAUCAAAAGUGUUGGCACAUUGUUGGAGAUGAUGUAAUCAAAUUCUGCUUACAAGUACUGAAUAAGGAUAAGGGUUUCAAACAGGUAACUCUACACACAUUAUACUCAUUCCAAAAGUGCCUAAUUCUGUUAAUAUGAAGCAGCUCAGACCAAUCAGCCUAUGUAAUGUGAUUUAUAAAAUUAUGGCAAAAGUUAUUGCCAACAAGCUCAGAGGACUUAUUGAGAAAUGUAUUUAUGUGGCUCAGAGUGAUUUUGUACCAGGAAGGCUGAUUUUGGAUAAUGUUCUUCUUGCUUAUGAAAUUCUACACACAUCGAAACAGAAGAGAGUGGGGCAAAAAGGCUUUAUGGCAAUGAAGCUUGACAUGAGUAAAGCAUAUGAUAGAGUUGAGUGGAAAUUUAUAAAAGAAAUAAUGACUCAAAUGGGCUUCGUUUGUAAUUGGAUUGAAACUAUUAUGGAAUGCAUAACUUUUGUAUCCUAUUCGGUUAUAGUAAAUGGAUUCAAAAGGGAGAAUUUUCAACUGACAAGGGGGCUGUGUCAAGGGGAUCCGCUUAGCUAUUUUAUGUUUCUUAUAUGUGGGGAAGGCUUAUCUAGUCUAAAGCUUCUUGCAUUGAGCACAAGAAUGUUGAGAGGAGCAAAAGUCAGUAGGAGUGGUUUGCAGGUAUCGCAAUUAUUAUUUACAGAUGAUUGCACUUUAUUUAGUGAAGCAACUAGUAGAGGAGCUAAUGUUUUAAAAGAAAUUCUCAGAAAGUACAGAAUGUGUUUAGGGCAGAGUGUUAAUUUCGACAAAUCAACUGUCUUUUUUAGCAAGAUUACAUCUGAAGUUGAAAGAAGAGGGGUGGUAAAUAUAUUGAGAGUUAGAAGUUCGAAUGACCCGGAAUGUUACCUAGGGUUGCCUAAUAUGGUAGGCAGGAAGAAAAGGGAGUUGUUCUAGAAUUUAAAAGAUUGAAUCAAGAAGCAAAUUGAUCACUGGAGUACGAGACAUCUAUCGCAAGGAGGGAAUGAAGUAUUUAUUAAGUCUAUUUUGCAAGCCAUCCCAACUUACACUAUGGCCUGUUUCCUUUUACCUAAGACGUUAUGUGGUGUCGAGAUGGAGAAUAUUAUUGCCAAGUUUUGGUGGCAAAAGGGACACGGAAAAAGGGGUAUACAUUGGUGUGCGUAGAGGAACCUUUGUAUUUUGAAGGAAAAUAGAGAUUCAGAUUUCGAAACAUUAGCCAGUUUAAUAUCGCUUUAUUAGCUAAGCAAGGUUGGCGUCUUAUUACUUGUCUGAAUUUCUUAUUGGCAAGAGUUCUUAAAGCCAAGUAUUAUCCAAAUUCAGACUUUCUUAAUGCACAAUUAGGUAACUUACCUGGAAGAGUGUUUGGGCUGCAAAAGGUUUGUUACGAAGUGGGAUGGGUUAGAGAGUAGGAAAGGGAAUUGGAAUCUCAGUUUGGAAUGAUCAUUGGAUAUCAGGAAAAGCUACAGAUGGUUGGAACCACAGAAACAAUAGUGAAGUUAAGUUAGUCUUUGAUUUAAUCGAUGCUACAAAUAAUAUGUGGAAGACAGAUCUAGUGAAAAGUACAUUUCCAGCAGAUAUUGCUCAAAGGAUUUUGCAAACGUCUCUGGCGGAAAACCCAGGCGACAACUUUCAGGUGUGGAAGGGAGAGCUGUCCAGUGAAUUUUCAGUCAAGAGCGCCUACAAACUAUUACAAAAUGCUAGCUUAGAUCCUAAUAAUUUAUUAAUACAGCCCGAUUUGAAAAAUUUCUACAAACAGCUAUGGAAUCUACAACUACCCUCAAAGAUUAUAAUUAUAGUUUGGAGAGCCUCCUGGAACUAUAUGCCUAUUUUAAUCAAUCUGAGAUCUAAACGAGUAGCUGACGAUACUGUAUGCCCUCGUUACAGAUUUAGAGAAGAGGAUGUAUCUUAUGUCUUUCGGUUUUGUCCUGCA
This is a long non-coding RNA of Gossypium raimondii (Peruvian cotton), 4313 nucleotides long. RefSeq lists it as uncharacterized. NCBI's taxonomy places the organism in Eukaryota, Viridiplantae, Streptophyta, Magnoliopsida, Malvales, Malvaceae. The record is from RefSeq and is a predicted model, not a curated record. The transcript is spliced from 2 exons.